RNAcentral lists this long non-coding RNA (3815 nucleotides) under Homo sapiens (human). RNAcentral describes it as "HSALNT0345207". Lineage: Eukaryota; Metazoa; Chordata; Mammalia; Primates; Hominidae. The record is from RNAcentral.
CGGAAGGGAAGACCACAUUGGUGGUCUCGGAGGUUCCAGGGAAGGUGACCCUUGGAGGGGCAAUGCUCGCCCCACAUGGAAAUUCACACUCCAGCCAAAACGCAGCUGACAGUGAGGAUGUUUUCCGCUGAGAGGAGCCAUAAUUAGACCUAAACAUUAACAGCAAAUCCAGGACCAUCCCUCACCAAGUAGGAGAAUAAGGGAGUCUAGGCUGUAAUCGGGCCUGAUUUCCCAAAGGAACAUAUAUGUUUUCUUAACCUUAUCCAACAGUAUUUUAUGAUUCUAGGCCCUUGAUUGGGGCCUAUACAGGACCAGCUACUCCCAGAAAACGAACAGAAAAGAGAACAUUUUCCGAGUGUGCUCUUUCCUCCUCUUGGCUUCUGUGUCUGUGUUAUUCCCAGGCAGAGGGUAGGAUCCAUCGGAUUUUCCAUAUUCCUAGGCCAGUUUUGAAAGCUCCUCCCCAGAUGCUGAGACCACAUUUCCCGUGCAGGAGGAGGUGGAUGGGGAGAGUUUGCAUCUGGGAGUAUAAUUCAGAUGACUUUUAUCAUCAGUACAUGUCACAAGAAAACAUUUAAAAUGACACUGAAACAAUCAUUGAAAUCAUGGUGCAUGGAGGAAAAAGGUAAAGAAAACAACUUUUGGCUUGUUUUGGCAUGAGACCUUGAUACAAUUUGGGUUCCCCAAAACCAUGUGAAGGGUGGUAAAAUAGAAAUGCUCAAAACUGACUUAAAAAAAUAAACAGGCUUUACAAAAACCCUCUUUUUUCUUAACCCAGCCACUUCUCGACAUGGUCUGCACAUACAGUAGAUACAUUCAUUAUUGUCCAAGGGAAGACAGUAACUGCCUUUCAUUUUAAAGAGCUUGGUGGAGAGGCUGAAGAAAUGUGCUGCAGCUGAAGCUACCUUUCCCCCAAGCACAGGAGGCCUCAGCUCCUGAAGCUCUGAAUUUACAGUACACAGUAGCAGACGGCUUGCCCUUUGGAAGGCUCCAUGGAAAGAAGGCUCAUCCCUGACUUGGGGCAACUUGACCGAAGUUUCUACUCUCCAGAAUCUCUUUUCUGUGGUCACCCGACUGGCAAGUGGAAGAUGGAAGCACCAAGGUUCCUGCAAAAGAUAGAUCAAGACCUUUGCUAUCAACCUUUCAGCCCAUCCCAAUGGCCUUGAAUGGCACGUGUCCUGGAAAACCAGGUCUGCUGCCUGUACGCCCGAGCGAAACCUAUGCUCAGCUGGAGAAGAGGACAGCCUUUCAGGGUUCAUGAAUGUUCUCCCUAGAACAGAUGGAAUGGCAGCUACAAUGCCCUUGGGAAUGUGAGGUCCUGGUGGAGUCUCUGGGGAAGUGAAAGAAGCUCCUUUAACUUGACUCCACUCACAGGACAAAGUGCAGGAGACAGAACAGAAUGGAUAGAAGAGGCUUCUCCUUUCUUCUUGCUCUAGAGUGAAGGAGAUGGACAGUUACCUUGAAAUGCUACGGGAAGGAUGAGCAUGGAGAGCUGCCUGUUAUUCUGAGCCAACUUCUGGCAAGAUGCUGGGUGAAUCGACUGCCUAGAAUUGAAGAACUGGCUCUCAAGCAGUUGCUGCUAAAGAAUGCCAGCAAACAAACCACACACAACUGUGGUAAGCCAGGCGGAAAUCCCUCCACCCUCUGGCAUGAGAUGGCAGUCUAGAAAGGACUCUCCAUGAGAUGCCUGGGGCCUGAGGAAGCAGAGGCAUGGACACACUGUUCUACGAUGACUCAGGGCCACCCAUGAGUGGGACAUUCGUGGGGAUGAGAUGGGAGCAGGGAGAAGCAGCAGUUGUAAUGGCCAGCCACGUGGGGACCAGUUCCGUGCCUGGCCUUUCUUUCUCUGGUGGAAGCCAUCUUGUUUUGAUCCUAAGAAAAAUGGGUGUCAUUUUAUCCAGGAAUCUAAGAAUUAUAAUAAUAAAUUAAUAAAGUGAAUGUGAUAAUCAAACUGUGAGGAUACGAACAACAUAAGAUUUAAUGAUCGUUGUCAAAACCAGUCCGUAGGGCUGUGGAACUUUAUCGUACAAUUCGACUUUGAUAUGUGUUUAAAUAUAUUUUCUAAGUUAUCCACAACCCAAAACAGGACCCCUUAGAGGUAAUCUAGAGGAAUCCCUCACGUUACAGACAGAGCCACUGGUUAAGGGUCUAGAGUCACACAGGGAGUUACUGCAGAAUCACUACUGGAACCCUGUGCUCUUUCUGCAGGGAUUCGGAUAUUUUGGUUGGAUUUGCAUUCUUACGUCAAUGUAUGUUCUCCAACUCUGCUCUUACAUAUUGAAAGGCAGGCAGCUAUUUUUAAACACCCUGCCUAUUAGCCUUCGGAACAUAAUAAUAAUGGCAAGCACCCUUUAUUGCUUCACCGAGCUGCAGACACCCUUCUAGGGUGUGAACAGAGCUCAGUAAAGAUAGCAGCCUCAGGUCUGUGUGUUGCUUUGAGCCACGAGCUGGUCUGCAGGCAGCAGCCAUGGGCCGUGCCUGUGUUGGUAUGUUUAAGAACAUUGGCGAAUACAGGAAUUACAUGGACUAGGUUUAGAAAACAAACAGUAACGUACAAAAAGGAAGGUUUGAUAUGGACUGCAAGGACAUAAAGCAGGUGCACAUGCGUGCACUACCAGAAUAGCUACACGGUGGGAAGGAAUUCCAGAACCACGUGAGAAAGAGUUGUUAGGACAAUGCAGUCGUGAAAUACCAUGUUUCCAACCCUAUCACUCUAUUUUAAAAUAGAUAAUAAUUAUAAUUUUUAUUAAUAUCAAACAAAUUAGCUUUGGGACCUAUGGCCCUAACUUAGGGGUCACGGCUGCAGUCCCCUUUCUUGCAGACCUGGCAGGCUGCGCAGAUAACUGCCCCCAGCGUUGGCCAACUCUGGACGCUCUCUUCUCCCAUAAAGACACCAGAGAGUGCUCUUCAGCCCCCGUGUUUCAAAGGGAGAACCCAAACCCACCCUAACUUCUGGCAAGACAAAUCACUUAUUAUAGCUGCUCACCUCUUCACAGAGUACCCACCUCCAGGAAAGGUCACUAAAGGUCCUGCCUGGGCCCCUGGCGUGGCACAGGGUCAUGGUCAGUCUUCUCUGGAGCCUGAGUCAGGGCCUGGUGGGGAAAGGCGGUGUCACUUAUAAGGGAGUGGGGAGGUGAGAGCUGGAAAGGGCUGGAAUGGCACCUUUUUAAAGGAAUAAAGCCCUUUAAAGAUCUUCAACUCAGGGACUUGGUCUCUUUGAGAAACAGCACCAUAAUCUAAUUGGAAUAAAAAAAGGAUCUAUUUAAUUAGAAAGAGACUGUUAGGAACUGGAAGCUGGGGAAAGGAGUAGGGACUCACUGGGCCCUUCUCAGGGAUAACAAAGAAUCAAGGGCCUCAGUAGCAAAUUACAGAGUUUAUUUUGAAAAUUCAAAUAAAACCACAAAAAUUCAAAUAAAAACACAUUCUAGACUAUAUCUUUGUAAGCUUUGGGGGACAAACCUCAAAGAGUCCUCCCAAAGGAAAACGCACCAGCUAAGCCAGGUGCCUCCAGGCUCGUAUAAAGGGGAAGGUGAGGUCAGGAGGCCAACAGCCAUUUUUUAGAAGAAUGACACCGCAAGACGUUCCUGGUCUACUAUUUCGCAUGAGGAAAACACGCUUUGGCUUCUGGUGGCUCAAUUGAGAUAAAAGCAGAGAGAGGUACAAUAAAAGGAAUUCAUAACAAACAUUAUGAACACCUGCUUGGAUUAAAAAGUUGACGGUUUCCUGAAACGGGCUCUGCUAAAAGGGACUUCCUGGAGAAAUCAGAUGCCUCUGGAAUGGAAGACGUCCAGGAAAGUUGGGAUGGCUGAACAACAGGU